RNAcentral lists this ribosomal RNA (497 nucleotides) under uncultured bacterium. RNAcentral's name for it is "partial 16S ribosomal RNA". It matches the Rfam family "Bacterial small subunit ribosomal RNA", at positions 28 to 507 of the family's 1533-position model. The record is from RNAcentral.
GAUGAACGCUGGCGGCGUGCCUAAUACAUGCAAGUCGAGCGAACAGACGAGGAGCUUGCUCCUCUGACGUUAGCGGCGGACGGGUGAGUAACACGUGGAUAACCUACCUAUAAGACUGGGAUAACUUCGGGAAACCGGAGCUAAUACCGGAUAAUAUAUUGAACCGCAUGGUUCAAUAGUGAAAGACGGUUUUGCUGUCACUUAUAGAUGGAUCCGCGCCGCAUUAGCUAGUUGGUAAGGUAACGGCUUACCAAGGCAACGAUGCGUAGCCGACCUGAGAGAGUGAUCGCCCACACUGGAACUGAGACACGGUCCAGACUCCUACGGGAGGCAGCAGUAGGGAAUCUUCCGCAAUGGGCGAAAGCCUGACGGAGCAACGCCGCGUGAGUGAUGAAGGUCUUCGGAUCGUAAAACUCUGUUAUUAGGGAAGAACAAAUGUGUAAGUAACUAUGCACGUCUUGACGGUACCUAAUCAGAAAGCCACGGCUAACUACGUG